Molecule: long non-coding RNA, 1098 nt
Organism: Asparagus officinalis (garden asparagus)
Lineage: Eukaryota; Viridiplantae; Streptophyta; Magnoliopsida; Asparagales; Asparagaceae
Exons: 3
Source: RefSeq, a predicted model, not a curated record
UCUCUCUCUCUCUCUCUCUUCUUUCUCUCCGCCAUGGAGGUGGGACGGCGACGAGGGGCCAUCGACGACAAGGAGAGGCCGACGGCGGAAACCCCGCCCAAAACAAGGGAUAUAUGGACUGCAGGUUCAAAAUACUUUACUGAGUUCAGCUCAGCCUUAAUUGCCACUUUCCAUCUCACCUAGUCCGAGUGUUUCAAGCACUCUGUUACCGACUUAGGUUCUGGAUCCAGAUUAUUUUCGAAAAUAGAUCAAAACUAGGGUUUCUGAGGGGGAAUCUUGCCGUAGAGGAGAGCAGAGAGAGGAGAAUCAGCUUCAGCCAUGGAAUGAGCUUCAGAUGGCUAAGAGGCUUCGAUUAUCUCCUUCAAAUUCUCAAGAUCUCAAAGCAAGAUAAGUGGAGAGAGAUCGAAGCUGAAUUGGAUCGGUCCCCUUUUUAUAGAGAGGCCCGGAGGCUGGAAAAGAUUUCGAGUUAAAUGUUUAAUGUUGAUGGGUUUGUGGAUCCGCUAUAUUUGGGCCUACUUUUCGGGCCUGGCCUUUAAUUGGGACAAAUUCGGAGUUUAAAGUACUUGGCAUGAUAUGCUAAUACAAGCUGCUCUAUGCGGUGCGUCGCGUGCAUGUCUUAAGGUAAUAAAAAACACUUUGGUUAGAAAAUAUGGGGAUUGAGUAACGAGGACGUGUUUAGAGUUCUGACUUUCUGCUGAAGCUCUUGACACUACUAGAAAAAUAAAGAUUCUCGACGGAUCAAAUUAGACGGACAAAUUUCUAUCUAGUUUGAAUCAAACUAGACAGUCAUUUUUUCGUAUAGAUAAUUCCGUCUUGGUUGGCUCAAUCUAGAUGGAAAAUUCCGUCUAGAUUGAAAACCUAGACGGAAAUUUUAAAUUAAUUAAAUAUUAGUGUGGGCCCGCCAUCCAAGACGGAAUUUCUACAUACCGUAAGUUUGUAAUACAAGCACGUCCUUUUGAAAUAUGAUUUCAUAUUGUACUUCAUGUAAAUUGAAAUAUAAUUCAAUUUUGUGUGUCCCCGAACAAACUUUGUCUAUAUGUAUAUCAGACAUGAGAAAUAUAUUGUAAACACAGCAAAAUCAAUUUGUGCAAAAUUUUA